Molecule: long non-coding RNA, 1250 nt
Organism: Eubalaena glacialis (North Atlantic right whale)
Lineage: Eukaryota; Metazoa; Chordata; Mammalia; Artiodactyla; Balaenidae
Exons: 5
Source: RefSeq, a predicted model, not a curated record
UGCCUCAGAGGACGAGCUGUUGCAGCCUUGCACGAUCAAAAUAGGGCCUUUUAGGUUUGAAGGUUGAAGCUGAGCCCAUAUUUUGGCUUCAGAUGUCGGGGGAGGGGGAGAAACUGACAGACCCAAACAAAGGAAAAAUGAAUGAAAUGCAGAUAACUCUUUAGAAAACUUUCGUAGGAAAAAAGCAAAGCGCCUCGUGUGAUCUGGAACAAAGACAUUUUCUAAUCAGAUUUAUCAAGCUGUGAAGAGGGAGUUUUAGCGAACGGAAGCAGCAGCAUUCUGUCACCAGGAAAUACUGCUUUAUCCAGAAUUGGUUUGGCCACAGCAACAAAGGCGAUGAAAAUGCUUUAUAUCUCUUAGCAUGAAAUGCGAAGUCUACAUCAACAGUAGAGCCCCUCCCUAGAAGGCUGCGGAUCAUCUAGCUGCUGGAAUGUGUGGCAUAAGCCAGUGGGCUUUAUCAUUGGACAGAGUGCAGAGAAAGGACCCCAUGAAAGCUGAUCACCUUAGCAAAACAUGAUUUUGUUAUGAUUUCACCAAGAUGGUCACACACCAGCCCGGGAAACUCAAUGAACCAGAGACCAGGUGUAAUGCCAUCCUUCCUUCUCUCUGCCUCAACUCUCAAGGAUUGGUCACCUACAUGUUAUUAGUAAUUAUUAUUUGGAUUCUAUUCAUAUUUACUAUCAGAAGUCAUAGCACCUAUGGGCCUCAUCACACUGCCCUGCUACCUCACCAUUCCUACUCAUUUUGGCUUCCUGCCCACCAGCAGGAACCCAGUUUCUUUUUGUUCUCCUUUUACCACAGCCCUGUAAUUUUUGUGAAUGACUCUCAGUCUCACCAGAAUCCAUAUCUCUCACUCUGUCCCAAUAUCCCACCCCAUUGCUUGCUCCCUGAAGUGAACUCUAGAAUUUAAGUAAACUGGGUUUUUUUUACCACUGUCCACCAUCUCUUAUGAAACCGGAAGAAGAGCAGCUUUCUUAUGGAAUGACCAAGAACUUGUAAAGAUAAACCACCAGUUUGCAGGAGAAAAGGAAGAAAAGAAUGAUGGAAAUAGCUUCUGGAAAACUAUUUUUUACAUUAUGUUUUGUUUUUCUGUUCCUGGUAAAUAAAUUUAAAUCUCUAAGCGUUAAAAAAAAUAGACCCGUCUAAACCAUUAAAUUCUCAAUAAUAAAGGAACAUAACUUUUAAAGGAGAUGUUAUAAACCCUUGGUUAUAUGAAUUGGAGAUAUUUAGUUAGUAAACAUGUAUUUUAA